GAAGGUUCGUACGUGACCUGCGGAAGGAUCAUUAACGAGUUUGAAAGGGGUUUGUAUGCUGGCCUUCCGAGGCAUGUGCUCGCCCUGCUCAUCCAUCUACACCUGUGAACUUUUUGUAGCUCGGGAUGUAUUGGAGGUCAGUGAUGGCCGACAGUGUAGUCCGUUCUACGAUCUUUACACACACACUUUAAAAGUUUAGAAUGUAUUCUUGCGAUUUUAAAACGCAUCUAAUACAACUUUCAACAACGGAUCUCUUGGCUCUCGCAUCGAUGAAGAACGCAGCGAAAUGCGAUAAGUAAUGUGAAUUGCAGAAUUCAGUGAAUCAUCGAAUCUUUGAACGCACCUUGCGCUCCCUGGUAUUCCGGGGAGCAUGCCUGUUUGAGUGUCAUGAAAUUCUCAACUCUACCAUUUUGUAAUGAAAUGUUUGUAGAGCUUGGACUUGGGGGUUUUGCUGGCGUGAGUCAGCUCCUCUCUAAAUGUAUUAGCUGGAUCUAUUGAUCAAUGAUCCUCGGUGUGAUAUUUGUCUACGCCGUGUUUGGUCUGAUCAGACCUUGAGUGCUACCGAUCGCAAGAUUUUGGGAACCCGGAAGAAAAAAAUAAACCUCCUAUCCUCCUCUCUUCCAUGGGGAACAUAAUAACUGAACUUCUGACUCCAAUUCAGGAAGAAUAACCCCUUAAAUUUAACCAAUUAUAA
Molecule: ribosomal RNA, 694 nt
Filed under: fungal sp. 28
Lineage: Eukaryota; Fungi
Description: eukaryotic LSU rRNA
Rfam family: 5.8S ribosomal RNA (bases 235-388)
Source: RNAcentral